CCUACGGGAGACAGCAGUGGGGAAUAUUGGGCAAUGGGCGCAAGCCUGACCCAGCAACGCCGCGUGAAGGAAGAAGGCUUUCGGGUUGUAAACUUCUAUCCUCAGGGACGAAGAAAGUGAUGGUACCUUAGGAAUAACCCACGGCCAACUACGUGCCAGCAGCCGCGGUAAUACGUAGGGGGCAAGCGUUAUCCGGAUGUAUUGGGUGUAAAGGCCGUGUAGGCGGUGGUGCAAGUCAGAUGUGAAAACUCAGGGCUCAACCCUGAGCCUGCAUUUGAAACUGUGUUUCUUGAGUGCUGGAGAGGCAAGCGGAAUUCCGUGUGUAGCGGUGAAAUGCGUAGAUAUACGGAGGAACACCAGUGGCGAAGGCGGAUUGCUGGACAGUAACUGACGUUGAGGCGCGAAAGCGUGGGGAGCAAACAGGAUUAGAUACCCCAGUAGUC
Molecule: ribosomal RNA, 443 nt
Filed under: uncultured bacterium
Lineage: Bacteria
Description: partial 16S ribosomal RNA
Rfam family: Bacterial small subunit ribosomal RNA
Source: RNAcentral